Homo sapiens (human) is the source of this 140-nucleotide non-coding RNA. It matches the Rfam family "Metazoan signal recognition particle RNA". From Rfam's summary of the family: The signal recognition particle (SRP) is a universally conserved ribonucleoprotein. It is involved in the co-translational targeting of proteins to membranes. Lineage: Eukaryota; Metazoa; Chordata; Mammalia; Primates; Hominidae. The record is from Rfam.
GCUGGGUGUGGUGGUGUGCGCCUGUAAUCCCAGCUACUCGGGAGGCUGAGGCAGGAGAAUCACUUGAACCCGGGAGGCCAAGGUUGCAGUGGAGUGCCACUGCACUCCAGCCUGGGUGACAGAGUGAAACUCUGUCUCAG